UACGUAGGGCGCAAGCGUUAUCCGGAAUUAUUGGGCGUAAAGAGCUCGUAGGCGGUUUGUCGCGUCUGCCGUGAAAGUCCGGGGCUCAACUCCGGAUCUGCGGUGGGUACGGGCAGACUAGAGUGAUGUAGGGGAGACUGGAAUUCCUGGUGUAGCGGUGAAAUGUGUAGAGAUCGGGAGGAACACCGGUGGCGAAGGCGGGUCUCUGGGCAUCUCCUGACGCUGAGGCGCGAAAGCGUGGGGAGCAAACAGG
This 253-nucleotide ribosomal RNA is filed under the name uncultured bacterium. Its description in RNAcentral is "partial 16S ribosomal RNA". It matches the Rfam family "Bacterial small subunit ribosomal RNA", at positions 524 to 776 of the family's 1533-position model. The record is from RNAcentral.